RNAcentral lists this non-coding RNA (28 nucleotides) under Rattus norvegicus (Norway rat). Lineage: Eukaryota; Metazoa; Chordata; Mammalia; Rodentia; Muridae. The record is from RNAcentral.
GCUGCAGGGUUGGAAUUACUGAGAUUGA